GAGAAAUUGCACCUGAACUGAACUUAAACCGCGACAAAUCAUGCCGUGAAAAGGCCACACAAACGCUAGCGAUUUCCAACCUUAUCACACACAACACGUAUUCACAUAUUCUAAGCAACAUCAACCAGCAGUAAGCAUUACAAAACCAAACCAUCUGAAACAACAGACGCCACAUUGGUAGAGAAGAUCAUAGACACUCACAUAUAUACACACACAUUUUGAGAUCCAGAGCGAAGGAUCUCAGCUGUCCUGCAGCUGAGCAGAGCGGCUGGUCAGAGGGACGUAUCGGACAGUGGCAUCGUUCCGGACGCUGGUGGAUCCGUCGGAGCUCUUGUCGAUCACCUGCAAGUCCUGAGAGUAUGUGCCGACCGGUAUGACCAUGCGCCCGCCAGGCUUCAGCUGCUCCAGCAGCGGCCGAGGGAUCUCAGGUGCCGCUGCACCCACAUGAAUAGCAUCGUAUGGCGCCGCAUCCGGCCAGCCAAGCCUUCCAUCUGUGUUUUUGAGAAUUGCAACAAGACAACUUGAGCUCCAGAUGUUUUGGACUUCCAUCAAAAGAUGGCUAGGACCAAUCAAGACUAACGUUUUGAGGCUAUAAAACGACCAGUGCAAAUUAAAUUUCAUCGAUGUAUUGAAUGGCUCAGCACACCAUAGCACACCAACUAGCAUACCUG
RNAcentral lists this long non-coding RNA (671 nucleotides) under Triticum aestivum (bread wheat). RNAcentral's name for it is "long non-coding RNA (TAES_LNC022731)". Lineage: Eukaryota; Viridiplantae; Streptophyta; Magnoliopsida; Poales; Poaceae. The record is from RNAcentral.